CAAGACACAAAGUGGAGGAUGGGGAUGCUGAUGCCAUUGGAAGAGGGAGAAGCCAUGGAAGGAUGGACGCAGGUGGAGAGGAUUAGAGAUUUAAGGACGCAUGUGGUGGUGGUGGUGGUGUUCUACCAUCGAGCUGUUCAAUGGUGGGCCUGCUACCAUGAGCGCACUAGUGUGUGCAGCAACACCAACACCGGCUGAAGGGCUUUGGUGUGCUAUUGGGAGU
RNAcentral lists this long non-coding RNA (223 nucleotides) under Elaeis guineensis (African oil palm). RNAcentral's name for it is "long non-coding RNA (EGUI_LNC043340)". The record is from RNAcentral. Lineage: Eukaryota; Viridiplantae; Streptophyta; Magnoliopsida; Arecales; Arecaceae.